Meriones unguiculatus (Mongolian gerbil) is the source of this 753-nucleotide long non-coding RNA. RefSeq lists it as uncharacterized. The record is from RefSeq and is a predicted model, not a curated record. The transcript has 4 exons. NCBI's taxonomy places the organism in Eukaryota, Metazoa, Chordata, Mammalia, Rodentia, Muridae.
AAACUGCUUUGCUGAGCUGCACAUAGAUCAUGUUACUUCCUAUUUUAUGAAAAACUUUAGUCAUUUGGGCACUGUCCCUGACCCCUUGACGGUGUUGAAGAAGCUGAGUGGACAGACGGGAAGCAUCACAGAAGCAGGGAGAGAAUGAGACCCACAGGUGGCAGCAUCUUCAGGCUCAGACAGAAUCUCACUGUUGGCUCAGAAUUCCAUGCAGAGAAAUUACUGCCAUCCUGCCAUCACCAGACUGAAGGCAGCAAGCACAGCUGAUGGCUGAACACCCAGGAUUGGUUCACUCAGCCCCUACCAUCUACUGCUGGGUUUCAGAGUUGCAUUUUUAAAAGAGUGAAAACCUCUAUCUACCAGAAAGGACAGAUGCCGUGGGGAACAGCGUCAGAUCUACAGGCCCCACCUAGUAACCCUCAGAGCUGGGCGCUACCACUGUCGCUCCUCUGCGUCUUUGACUCGGGGUUACACCGGUUUCCAAGAAAAGCGUGGCCAGUGUGAAUCACUGGACUCCAGACGGCUGGGUGUUUCAUAGAAGGCAAGAGAGGCGGCGGCAGCUAUGGCCAGAGGCUCUCCCAGGUAACAGCCGCCUGUCUCAUCUCUGCCCUUGUCUUCUCUCAGACCACCCGCCUCCUGGUAUUCCCUCCCCUCGCCACGCACCUCAGCCUGAAGCUCCUUCUUGUUAUCAGUAGGUUCAGUCAUCUAGAGAGAGCCAGGUGUGAGUUUUGGGCCAAAGUCUAAAUUCCUUGA